CUGCUACACUUCCUGCGGCGGAUUUCGCGCAACUCCACCGCUCCCUGACAGGCCGCAGUAACGAUCGCAGCACCGCUCCACUCCCUACGACGGAUCCCACGCGGCUCCAUUACUACCUGACAGGCCACGAUAAAUGGCCGCGAUCCUGCUCCACCUCCUGCAACGGAUACCGCGCGAUUCUUCCAUCCGCUUGCAAAUCACGACAACAAACGCCGCCCCACUUCACGCGGCAGACUCCACGUGGCA
Molecule: long non-coding RNA, 246 nt
Filed under: Elaeis guineensis (African oil palm)
Lineage: Eukaryota; Viridiplantae; Streptophyta; Magnoliopsida; Arecales; Arecaceae
Description: long non-coding RNA (EGUI_LNC043746)
Source: RNAcentral